GCAGCAGCCGCGGUAAAACGUAGGUCCCGAGCGUUGUCCGGAUUUAUUGGGCGUAAAGCGAGCGCAGGCGGUUUGAUAAGUCUGAAGUUAAAGGCUGUGGCUCAACCAUAGUUCGCUUUGGAAACUGUCAAACUUGAGUGCAGAAGGGGAGAGUGGAAUUCCAUGUGUAGCGGUGAAAUGCGUAGAUAUAUGGAGGAACACCGGUGGCGAAAGCGGCUCUCUGGUCUGUAACUGACGCUGAGGCUCGAAAGCGUGGGGAGCGAACAGGAUUAGAUACCCGCGUAGUCCCUGUCUCUUAUACA
RNAcentral lists this ribosomal RNA (302 nucleotides) under uncultured bacterium. Its description in RNAcentral is "partial 16S ribosomal RNA". It matches the Rfam family "Bacterial small subunit ribosomal RNA", at positions 508 to 808 of the family's 1533-position model. The record is from RNAcentral.